AACAUGCAGUUCGAGCGGGCGUACCANUACGUACGCGGCAGUACRGRUGAGUAACGCGUGGCAACGUACCUUUUGGUUCGGAACAWCACAGGGAAACUUGUGCUAAUACCGGAUAAGCCCUUACGGGGAAAGAUUUAUCKCCGAAAGAUCGGCCCGCGUCUGAUUAGCGUAGUUGGUGAGGUAACGGCUCACCAWGGCKACKAUCAGUAGCUGGUCUGAGAGGAUGAUCAGCCACAUUGGGACUGWGACACGGCCAAMACUCCUACKGGAGGCASCAGUGGGGAAUAWUGGACAAUGGRCGCAAGCCUGAUCCAKCCAUGCCGCGUGASUGAUGAAGGCCCUAGGGUUGUAAAGCUCUUUUGUGCGGGAAGAUAAUGACGGUACCGCAUKAAUAMGCCCCGGCUAACUUCGWGCCA
This 416-nucleotide ribosomal RNA is filed under the name uncultured bacterium. RNAcentral's name for it is "partial 16S ribosomal RNA". It matches the Rfam family "Bacterial small subunit ribosomal RNA", at positions 52 to 510 of the family's 1533-position model. The record is from RNAcentral.